This 942-nucleotide long non-coding RNA is filed under the name Mytilus galloprovincialis (Mediterranean mussel). The record is from RNAcentral. Lineage: Eukaryota; Metazoa; Mollusca; Bivalvia; Mytilida; Mytilidae.
CUAUGAGGAGCAAUAUCUUCAUUUGAUGCUUGUUGUAUAUUUGUAUCAACUAUUUUGAAUGAUAUUAAAGAAAUGAAUUGGAAGUUGGUCAAAUAAUUUACUCAAAAUAAAGCAUAUACUUAUGUUCAAUAAGACAAUGACGUGAUUAAAGGACUAUCCCUUCAAUAAGUUCAGGUGUAAAAUGUGGUUUCGUUACAAAUUCCAAUAGUGUUGUAUUAUAUACAAGCUCUAAAAAAACAGGUAAGUUAAUGCAGUUUUGUUAUUAUAUCAAUUGAAGAGUUUAUUUUCGAUUUCCUAGAUUUACAGAUCGGGUUGAUGAAUAUGCGAAAAUUUAACAGUAAGUGUAGGCUGUUAUUUCAAAUGUUAUUUGUUUCAAUAUUUCCAAUUUUGCUAAAAUAGAAAAAAAAGAUACCUUGUUGAUUCAAUUUGGCACAUAAUUUCAAACGUAAAACGAAUUCCCUGAAUUGUAUUUAAAACAGGUUCCUGUUUGACUAGUAUCCACUGUAAAACAAUGACAGAAAUACUUGUUGACUGGUGCAGAUCUUAAGUUAUAUCUUUUGUUCAUAUAAUGUGACUUUAAUUCCAUGUGAUACUACUGGUGAUAGUAUAAUAUAGUAACAAUAAUAUAUGAAUAUUUCAACUUGUCAAUGCUUUCAGAUAGUUAAGAGAUUUACUGAUAUUCUACAUUUGAAUAAUUUUUAUGUUUUAAACAUUAAAUUAAUGAAUGUUUACUAUUGCAUGUUUACUAUUGCAGAUAAAUAUAUCCAAUAAAGGAAUAGUAUAUUUUUAAGCAAACCAUUGCUUUAUUUCAUAUGUUGUUAACGUUAUACUUUACGGAUCACCAGCAUGUUCUAUACAUGCUAUAUACGUCAAUAUCCUUAAUGCGCCUCAAAUUGAGUAACACAAAAUGUCUGCGUAAACAGAAAUGUUAGUGUAGUAAUA